Long non-coding RNA from Topomyia yanbarensis, 606 nucleotides. RefSeq lists it as uncharacterized. The transcript has 3 exons. The record is from RefSeq and is a predicted model, not a curated record. NCBI's taxonomy places the organism in Eukaryota, Metazoa, Arthropoda, Insecta, Diptera, Culicidae.
CUGUGAAAGAGGCUAGAGUGCGUGUUAGUUAAAUUUGUCCCGCGGUGUCGAAAGGUGUUGCGUGGAAGUUAGCAGUAGGAAGUGCGGAAAUUUGUGUGCGUUAGAAAACCGAAUAAAAAGCCGUGCGACGGCUUUUAUUCUACCGUUUAGAUUGGCACUAUUCAUCGGCCCGCCACACCGCCCUUCGCCCACCGACGCGCUCUAGACCCACGCGCUAGUUUGGAAGAUUCUGCCGCUACAACCAAAUAAGGCAGAAGUGCGACGGUUUUACAUCGUUUGCUCAACUGAGCUGCACGUCACAACCAUCCGGUGUGCACGUAUUUUGUUGCUGGCAGCUUGUCCGGCGUUCCGACACUGCCAGCAGUUAUCCAUCCUGUAUGCAGAGGAACAUCUGUAAUCGUCCGGUACAUCCUUAAUCGCCGCCUGCGCAGAUUCAUCACCGCCGGUGUAGAUACAUCGCCGCCACCGCAUCGCCGCAUCGGGACAGUCUUCGCAGUAGUGCGAAUGUGAGUGGGCAAGCAACGAAAAAGACUGUAAGUACACCUACUAUAAAAUCCAUGCGCAUGGUUCGUUAAAGUUUAGCCGAUACACGCACCCGGCAAACAA